Molecule: ribosomal RNA, 425 nt
Filed under: uncultured bacterium
Lineage: Bacteria
Description: bacterial SSU rRNA
Rfam family: Bacterial small subunit ribosomal RNA
Source: RNAcentral
GUGGGGAAUCUUGCGCAAUGGGCGAAAGCCUGACGCAGCCAUGCCGCGUGAAUGAUGAAGGUCUUAGGAUUGUAAAAUUCUUUCACCGGGGACGAUAAUGACGGUACCCGGAGAAGAAGCCCCGGCUAACUUCGUGCCAGCAGCCGCGGUAAUACGAAGGGGGCUAGCGUUGCUCGGAAUUACUGGGCGUGAAGGGCGCGUAGGCGGACAGUUUAGUCAGAGGUGAAAGCCCAGGGCUCAACCUUGGAAUUGCCUUUGAUACUGGCUGUCUUGAGUACGGGAGAGGUGAGUGGAACUCCGAGUGUAGAGGUGAAAUUCGUAGAUAUUCGGAAGAACACCAGUGGCGAAGGCGACUCACUGGCCCGUUACUGACGCUGAGGCGCGAAAGCGUGGGGAGCAAACAGGAUUAGAUACCCCAGUAGUCC